This 657-nucleotide ribosomal RNA is filed under the name uncultured Roseateles sp. Its description in RNAcentral is "bacterial SSU rRNA". It matches the Rfam family "Bacterial small subunit ribosomal RNA", at positions 61 to 720 of the family's 1533-position model. Lineage: Bacteria; Pseudomonadati; Pseudomonadota; Betaproteobacteria; Burkholderiales; Sphaerotilaceae. The record is from RNAcentral.
GUCGAACGGUAACAGGUUAAGCUGACGAGUGGCGAACGGGUGAGUAAUGUAUCGGAACGUGCCCAGUCGUGGGGGAUAACUGCUCGAAAGAGCAGCUAAUACCGCAUACGACCUGAGGGUGAAAGCGGGGGAUCGCAAGACCUCGCGCGAUUGGAGCGGCCGAUAUCAGAUUAGGUAGUUGGUGAGGUAAAGGCUCACCAAGCCGACGAUCUGUAGCUGGUCUGAGAGGACGACCGGCCACACUGGGACUGAGACACGGCCCAGACUCCUACGGGAGGCAGCAGUGGGGAAUUUUGGACAAUGGGCGCAAGCCUGAUCCAGCCAUGCCGCGUGCGGGAAGAAGGCCUUCGGGUUGUAAACCGCUUUUGUCAGGGAAGAGAAGGUUCUGGCUAAUACCUGGGACUCAUGACGGUACCUGAAGAAUAAGCACCGGCUAACUACGUGCCAGCAGCCGCGGUAAUACGUAGGGCGCAAGCGUUAAUCGGAAUUACUGGGCGUAAAGCGUGCGCAGGCGGUUAUGCAAGACAGAGGUGAAAUCCCCGGGCUCAACCUGGGAACUGCCUUUGUGACUGCAUGGCUAGAGUACGGUAGAGGGGGACGGAAUUCCGCGUGUAGCAGUGAAAUGCGUAGAUAUGCGGAGGAACACCGAUGGCGAAG